RNAcentral lists this ribosomal RNA (983 nucleotides) under human gut metagenome. RNAcentral describes it as "bacterial LSU rRNA". It matches the Rfam family "Bacterial large subunit ribosomal RNA", at positions 1934 to 2925 of the family's 2925-position model. The record is from RNAcentral.
CCGUAACUAUAACGGUCCUAAGGUAGCGAAAUUCCUUGUCGGGUAAGUUCCGACCUGCACGAAAGGCGCAACGACUUGGGCGCUGUCUCGACCAUGGACCCGGUGAAAUUGCACUGGUCGUGAAGAUGCGACUUACCCGCGGAAGGACGGAAAGACCCCGUGAACCUUCACUGCAGCUUGGCAUUGGCCGCUGGUCCCGCGUGUAGAGGAUAGGCAGGAGGCAUCGAUCCGGAGGCGCCAGCCCCCGGGGAGCCGCCCUUGGAAUACUGCCCUCGCGCGACCGGCGUCCUAACCCGAGGCCGUCAACCGGCUCGGGGACCGUGCCAGGCGGGCAGUUUGACUGGGGCGGUCGCCUCCUAAAGGGUAACGGAGGCGCGCGAAGGUCCGCUCGGGACGGUCGGCAACCGUCCUUUUGAAUGCAAGAGUACAAGCGGGCUUGACUGCGAGGCCCACAAGCCGAGCAGGUGCGAAAGCAGGCUCUAGUGAUCCGGCGGCCCCGAGUGGGUGGGCCGUCGCUCAACGGAUAAAAGGUACUCCGGGGAUAACAGGCUGAUCUUGCCCAAGAGUCCACAUCGACGGCAAGGUUUGGCACCUCGAUGUCGGCUCAUCGCAUCCUGGGGCUGGAGCAGGUCCCAAGGGUACGGCUGUUCGCCGUUUAAAGCGGUACGCGAGCUGGGUUCAGAACGUCGUGAGACAGUUCGGUCCCUAUCCUCCGUGGGCGCAGGAGAAUCGAUGGAGGCUGCCCCCAGUACGAGAGGACCGGGGUGGACGCACCUCCGGUGAACCGGUUGUCGACCAACGGCACGGCCGGGUAGCCGCGUGCGGCGCGGAUAACCGCUGAAGGCAUCUAAGCGGGAAGCCGUUCCAGGGAUUAGUUCUCCUUCCGGUAAGGGCCCAGGUAGACUACCUGGUCGAUAGACGGCAGGUGCAAGGACGGCGACGUCCUCAGCCGAGCCGCACUAAUCGCCCGAGCUCUUCCGGAA